Molecule: long non-coding RNA, 670 nt
Filed under: Homo sapiens (human)
Lineage: Eukaryota; Metazoa; Chordata; Mammalia; Primates; Hominidae
Description: HSALNT0231201
Source: RNAcentral
UAAUCUCUGUUUUCUCUUUCAGAAUAAUAGGUUAUUCCCCUGUCCUGAGUUCUGCUUGAAAAACUGAGAGUUCUAGAACUUUGCAAAAGCUCCUCUAUUGUUCCAAGAUGAGCAUUUUUCUGGGGUGAACUGGGCAGAGGUUUGACUGGCAAGCAGCUCUGGGUGUACAUUUCAUCCAAGAGUCUCAUGGUGGUCGAAGGAGAUCCCCAGAUGCAAAAUCAAAGUUGCUUGGAUUUCCAUUUCUUCCCCAUCUAGGAAAAGGGCAAUGGAAUCAAAGCCUUUAAAAAAUGUAGUAAGAGAAAGACUCUCUAAUUGAUCAGAACCUUCUGGCAACCAGCACUUUGGCCCAUCUACUGAAAAAUACUUUAUCAGUGUCUUUAGUAAAGGCCCCCAAGAUGCACAAUACAUUUUUGGUUGUUGAAAUAGAGUGUCUUCUAAGUCAUCAAGUAAAAGAGAAAUUCUGCUCAGAAGACUUUUGGAUAGUACCCAACAUUUGGUGAGGCUUACUAUAUUACAUGCAUUACCUCGCUAAAUCACCACAUUAGAACACUUACAGGUUAUGACAAAACAAGAAGGCCCUAGAAGACAUGCUGUAAAAAAUAAGGCAAGGCUAUGUCUGAUGGAUUUCUAGACUGCACAGUCCAGUAGAUUACAUGAGAGGAUCAAUAAU